UGGUGGCGAUAGCGAAGAGGUCACACCCGUUCCCAUGCCGAACACGGAAGUUAAGCUCUUCAGCGCCGAUGGUAGUUGGGGGCUUCCCCCUGUGAGAGUAGGACGCCGCCA
This 111-nucleotide ribosomal RNA is filed under the name Bacillus licheniformis. RNAcentral also lists the same sequence under 2 other names. Lineage: Bacteria; Bacillati; Bacillota; Bacilli; Caryophanales; Bacillaceae. The record is from RNAcentral.